UUCUUGGGUUCGUAUAUGCAAUUCUCUUUAGUUAUAGUUAUUCUGUGUACUCGUCGGGCUUAUGGGGGUCCGUUCGGGUUUUUAUUUAACUUGCGCACGAGUGUACCUUCUGGGCUUAUGGGGGUCCAGUUAGGUGUAGUUAGCUUAUAGAUUACUUUAGUUAGUUCUUUGUACACUCGUGUGCAUUCCCUUGUUAGUUAGAUUUUAGUUCUUGACUUCGGUUUGUGUUAUUCCUUCUUUUCAUAUUGCCUUUACUUUUCAAGUUCAGUCGGCCUAUGAUGCCUACUGGGUACCUGUUGUUUUGGUACUCAUGCUACGCUCUGCAUCUAUUUCGUGAUGCAGGUCCGGGCACUAGUAGCCAGUGUUGAUCGAGCUUGGAGCAGACUGAUCCGGAGACG
Molecule: long non-coding RNA, 398 nt
Filed under: Solanum tuberosum (potato)
Lineage: Eukaryota; Viridiplantae; Streptophyta; Magnoliopsida; Solanales; Solanaceae
Description: long non-coding RNA (STUB_LNC001565)
Source: RNAcentral